ACAUUUUGGUUAUCGGGUUUAUUAAUUCAAUCCAUCCCAAGAAAAGAAAUGAGUGAACCACCAAAAUAUGCGUAUCCGUAUCCUGCUCAAGGUCCAUACCAAGGGCCGCCUCCGGUAAUGGCACCACCACCACAAUAUUAUGCUGCACCUCCGCCCCGUAAACAAGCUGGUUUUCUCGAGGGAUGUCUUGCGGCCAUGUGUUGCUGUUUCCUAGUUGACGAAUGUUGCUGCGACCCUUCCAUCAUAUGUUUCUUCUAAUUCAAUAAAAUGAUAAUUAAACAGUGUAUUCAUAUUUCAAUUUCGGACAUAAUUUUAUAUGAAAUUAAUGUUUUCUUAAAUUA
This is a long non-coding RNA of Erythranthe guttata (spotted monkey flower), 341 nucleotides long. RefSeq lists it as uncharacterized. The record is from RefSeq and is a predicted model, not a curated record. Lineage: Eukaryota; Viridiplantae; Streptophyta; Magnoliopsida; Lamiales; Phrymaceae.